Molecule: long non-coding RNA, 450 nt
Filed under: Gallus gallus (chicken)
Lineage: Eukaryota; Metazoa; Chordata; Aves; Galliformes; Phasianidae
Description: long non-coding RNA NONGGAT002356
Source: RNAcentral
GGGGGGUCGAUAGAAGUAUUUUCACGUCAUUCCUGACCUCCGUCCUUCUCCUAAAUGAUAUCACCAGGCUUUGAGUCAAGCCUGAAGGGCCGAUAGGACGUUCAGCAUUUCAGAGUUGAGGUAGAAAUUGAAGACCUGGAUGCUGGAUUCGUUUUUGGUCCUGAUCAGCUCAGUCUGACAUCAUUUCACUGUGAAGCAGAAGCCCAAAGACUUGGUUGAUAUUCUGUAAAUGAACCCACCAGAAGAACCCAAGAGGCCCUCUGCUUUCCAUCAGGCUACCAGUCCUCCAGACAGCAAACGAAGAGGCAGAGAUUAAUUCCUUAUUAGCCUGGUGAAGGUGAUGUUAGCUGGUACAAUCAGCUGAUUCAAGCAUGAUGGAGUGUGUGAAAAGAAAAGCUGCAGAAAGAAUGUUGGGUUGACUCUAAUGUUGUCAGUAGUGCUGAAAGAAAA